Molecule: ribosomal RNA, 467 nt
Filed under: uncultured bacterium
Lineage: Bacteria
Description: partial 16S ribosomal RNA
Rfam family: Bacterial small subunit ribosomal RNA
Source: RNAcentral
GACGAACGCUGGCGGCGUGCUUAACACAUGCAAGUCGAACGGAAAGGCCUCUUUCGGGGGGUACUCGAGUGGCGAACGGGGGAGUAACACGUGAGUAACCUGCCCUUGACUUUGGGGUAACUUCAGGAAACUGGGGCUAAUACCGGAUAGGGGCUCCUGCUGCGUGGGGGGGGUUGGGGAGUUUCGGCGGGUGGGGGUGGACUCGCGGCUUAUCAGCUUGUUGGGGGGGGAUUGGCUUACCCAGGGUUUGACGGGUAGCCGGGCUGUGAGGGUGACCGGCCAAAAUGGGAACGAGAUAAGGCCCAGGAUUCUACGGGAGGCAGGAGGUGGGAAUAAUGCACAAUGGGGGGAAGCCCGAUGGAGCAACGCCGUGGGGGGGAAGAAGGGCUUCGGGUUGGAAAACGGUUUCGCUCAGGACGAAGGUUUGUGUGACGGUAGUGGGUAAAGAAGCACCGGCUAACUACGUG